UCUGCCCGUGAUGGUGAUAAAUAUACUGAGUGCUUCACUAUGAAAAGAAUAUAAUCUGAGGCUU
Molecule: small nucleolar RNA, 64 nt
Filed under: Olea europaea subsp. europaea
Lineage: Eukaryota; Viridiplantae; Streptophyta; Magnoliopsida; Lamiales; Oleaceae
Source: RNAcentral